Molecule: ribosomal RNA, 192 nt
Filed under: uncultured bacterium WkA23
Lineage: Bacteria
Description: partial 16S ribosomal RNA
Rfam family: Bacterial small subunit ribosomal RNA
Source: RNAcentral
CCUACGGGAGGCAGCGAUUAAGGGAUAUGUGUCAAUGGACGCAAGUCUGAACCAGCCAUGCCGCGUGGAGUGAUGAAGGCCCUCUGGGUUGUAAACUUCUUUUAUUUGGGAAGAAACCCCAUCUUUUCUAAGGUGGUUGACGGUACCAAGCGAAUAAGCACCGGCUAACUCCGUGCCAGCAGCCGCGGUAAU